UUCCACGUUGUCCGUGCCGGCAGCUAACGCAAUUAAGUGCCCCGCCUGGGGAGUACGGCCGCAGGGCUAAAACUCAAAGGAAUUGACGGGGGCCCGCACAAGCGGCGGAGCAUGUGGCUUAAUUCGACGCAGCGCGAAGAACCUUACCAAGGCUUGACAUACACCGGAAACGUCCAGAGAUGGGCGCCCCCUUGUGGUCGGUGUACAGGUGGUGCAUGGCGGUCGUCAGCCCCGUGGUCGUGAGAUGUUGGGUUAAGUCCCGCAACGAGCGCAACCCUUGUCCCGUGUUGCCAGCAGGCCCUUGUGGUGCUGGGGACUCACGGGAGACCGCCGGGGUCAACUCGGAGGAAGGUGGGGACGACGUCAAGUCAUCAUGCCCCUUAUGUCUUGGGCUGCACACGUGCUACAAUGGCCGGUACAAUGAGCUGCGAUACCGCGAGGUGGAGCGAAUCUCAAAAAGCCGGUCUCAGUUCGGAUUGGGGUCUGCAACUCGACCCCAUGAAGUCGGAGUCUCUAGUAAUCGCAGAUCAGCAUUGCUGCGGUGAAUACGUUCGCGGGCCUUGUACACACCGCCCGUCACGUCACGAAAGUCGGUAACACCCGAAGCCGGUGGCCCAACCCCUUGUGGGAGGUAUCUGUCGAAAGUGGGACCGGAAGAUUGAAAACGAAUUCUU
Molecule: ribosomal RNA, 674 nt
Filed under: Streptomyces sp.
Lineage: Bacteria; Bacillati; Actinomycetota; Actinomycetes; Kitasatosporales; Streptomycetaceae
Description: bacterial SSU rRNA
Rfam family: Bacterial small subunit ribosomal RNA
Source: RNAcentral